CACGGCUUCGACGUGGGUCGCGAAACCUUCGGGGCAUGCCGAGGUGCAGAUUUCCUCGUUAAUCCAGCUGCACGCAAAUAGUUGCCAACAACGACAACUACGCCCUGGCGGCCUAAUCCCCGCCAGCCCCUUUUCCCGGUUCGCCUGUGGGCAGGGAUAAAAGGGGUCGAUUCACGCAGGACCGCGUGCCGCUGCGUCCGUUAGCGGCGCGUUAAAUCUCAAGCGGGCUACGCUUGCUGGCGCUCCUGUCUGUCGGAGACCAGUCGGUUAAAUAUAAAGACAGACUACGCAUGUAGAACCGGACGGUAGAGGGCUUGCGGACGCGGGUUCGAUCA
RNAcentral lists this transfer-messenger RNA (335 nucleotides) under Gammaproteobacteria bacterium. It matches the Rfam family "transfer-messenger RNA". Rfam says of the family: Bacterial tmRNA, also known as 10Sa RNA or SsrA, is named for its dual tRNA and mRNA-like properties. Its role is to liberate the mRNA from a stalled ribosome. The record is from RNAcentral. Lineage: Bacteria; Pseudomonadati; Pseudomonadota; Gammaproteobacteria. RNAcentral also lists the same sequence under 2 other names.